UUUGGAUGAUGAGAACUAAAAGAAUUCGCCGGAGGAUA
RNAcentral lists this small RNA (38 nucleotides) under Arabidopsis thaliana (thale cress). RNAcentral's name for it is "ATSL302770". The record is from RNAcentral. Lineage: Eukaryota; Viridiplantae; Streptophyta; Magnoliopsida; Brassicales; Brassicaceae.